This is a long non-coding RNA of Felis catus (domestic cat), 9285 nucleotides long. RefSeq lists it as uncharacterized. The transcript has 6 exons. The record is from RefSeq and is a predicted model, not a curated record. Lineage: Eukaryota; Metazoa; Chordata; Mammalia; Carnivora; Felidae.
CCGGGGGGGGGGAGGGGGGGUUAGUAACGUGGGCGAACCUGCCCCAGGGAAAUGAAGUAAGUUCCCGUCUCCUGGGAGGGAACGGGGGAGGACGGAUCCGCCCGCGUCUGACUCAAGCCGGGAGAGGAAUAUCCCCUCGCUCGCUCCAGCCCAACCCUCUUCCUCCUCCCCCGCCCGGCCGGCUCCGAGGAACCGGCGCGCAGCGGAGGGAGGCGCCCGGCCCCCCUGCCUUCCCCAGAGGCUGGUGUUUCUUUCCGUCCCGGCUUCCCCGCCCCCACCCCUCAGCCGGGCGUCCAGGAAUUGCCCGCCGUGGGGAGGGGCCUAGGGGCGGGGCGGAUGUCACCCCAUGGGAAGCGGGCCGCCAGCCAAGCGCAGGGGCAGCCGAGGCCGCCGCCGAGCACGCUGCGCGCACCUGACCGCCGAGCGUGUGCGCCACGGGCCCCUCGCUCCCCCGGAGCUUCGCUCCUGGGUGCAGCCGGCGGGCACCCUCUUGCGCGUACCCCCUGGGUGUCCCAGUGCCCAUCUCCACCCGACUUCGACAAGUCCAACACUGAAAGAUACCGGGCGCCGUGCCCUGCGUUCCCUCCCUCCCCUGCCCUCCCCAGAGCAGAGGCUCCCGGAUCGCCUCCCCUCCGGCUGCAACGUUACACAACUGCGGCGGCGACGCCUGCCCCGCAGCAGCACGGGGCGUGACGCUUCACGUGGCCGGGGCUCGGCCUCAGGGCAGUCGACUGCGAGCCCUUCUGCGCCGGCCAUGGGCCGGAGACCCCGGGGACCGGGACGCUGUGUGCCCGCCAGGGUGGGCCAUCCCUCCGCCUGCCAGGAGCUUGGGCGGCGCUGUUGGCGGUCUGCACCCAGAGCGGGAGGGAAGAGAGAGACUAGGACAAACUAUCUGUCCAUCACAUUGAAAUCCUAGCAUUCAUUCAGUGGAUACACAUUUGCUGAGCCCCCUACUCUGUGCCAGGCGUUGUGCCCGUUGCUAGAGAUACUGUUGGGAGUCCAAUAGAGUCCACCCUUGAAUUUACAGGAGCCUCUGGAAAGAGGAUAAAUUGGGCAAUGAGGGGAAGGCGGCCCUGGGAAAAUUAUAGAGGUGCCAGUGGCAGAGAAAAAAAGAGAAGUUUGUUUUGUUUUCAAAUUUUAUUUAAUACGGACCAAGAUGCCUUGGAAGAGGAGGAGGGGGAAGAAGCUAACCCAUUGCCCUCAGCUUGGCGCAGAAAGGCCUCCCGCAAGGGGCCCCAGACCUCUGCAAUGUGCGCGGGCGGGGGCCCCCACCUACCUCCGCCGGCAAAGUCCGGUCUCUGUGACCUUCUAACUCAGCCUGGAGCAGGGAAAACAGCUGAAACUCCAAGCCCGCGGUGUGAGCCGCGCUGAUGCAGUCAGAGGAGGGAGCCAGUGGAAAUUCAUGACUAAAAUAAGGCCUGGCUGGGGAUUUCACUGACCUCUGUGCUGCCCUGCCCUGCAAGUUCGGGGAGUUGAGAGAUGACUGUAAGCCGUUCCCACCGCGCCUCGGGAUUUUUAUCUGGUAUGUGGAGCUCUUCCCCCAAACAGGUGGGCAAGGAAGAAGUGGAGGCCCCAGCAUCUUCUCCGCAGGCCUGCACCUGGAAGCAGGGGCAUAGAGAAGAGUGCGUCUGUGAUCUGCCAUGGAUUCCCAGGUCUGAUGUUUUGGUUUACCUUUCUGAAUUGGUUUUUUUCUUCUAUAAGAUAGGGGUGUACAGGAAAGACAAAAACGCUAUUUUUUAAUUUUAAUUUUUUAAAAAAUACAAUUUAUUGUCACAUUGGCUAACAUACAGUGUGUAAAGUGUGCUCUUAGUUUUGGGGGUAGAUUCCUGUGGUUCAUCACUUACAUACAAUACCUAGUGCUCAUCCCAGCAAAAAAAUGCUAUUUUAAAAAGCUGGCUGCUUUUUGAGUUGGAAUCUAAGGACAAUAGAAUUAGAGUCUUUUUCUUUCUUGGGGUGUUUUUUUUUGUUUGUUUUUUUUUUUGUUUGUUUGUUUGUUUUCAGUUUGGUCAAGGUAAAGGGCUAAUUGAGAUAGGAGUGGUUAGGACCUGGGGACUAAAAUUGCUCUGCAUAAAGAAAUAAGAACUUUUUGUUUUUAAUUGAGGCUGGAGGGAAAUUUUUUUAUUUUGCUUUUGUUUGGGCAGGAGUGGUGAGAGAGUGGGCCCUAGCAGUAGGGUAGACAUGACAAGUUGCUCCUCCAGUGGCGAGAAGGAAGGGGGCGUGAGCUUUGAUGUCUGAUUGUCUAUUUUAAGUAGUUUCCUAUUCUCCAUUAGAAUCUUUCUCUGGUAAAGAUGUGCUCGCAUGACACCCAGAUGUUCAUGUGUUUUGGAGACUGAAUAGAGAGGGCUGCAUCAGCAGUAGGGGUGAAGUGAAAUAGAAGGGAGAUGAUGAGAAUUGGGUUGCAGUUGGGGUUUAGGAUCAAAAGUAACAAGGAAUCAUUGGGCACUUUUUAGCACCCUCCCUAGGAUCCUUGAAAUCAUUAAGGAGAGGGCUGGGUCCCAACAGUUAUGUGAGAUCUGGUCUAAAAUAGGCAUUUGAAUGUUAAAUGAAAGAUAGUAUACUUUGGGAGCAUGCAGAUGUCAGGGAGAAUAAUCUACUGACCAGGGUUGGAAGGUGUAAAUGUGGAUGUAGGUGAAGGCACUUCAUAAACUAGGGAAACACAUGAUCUUACACAAGAUAAAACCUCUUUCCAUGAAGAAUAUUUUGAAGUCAGAUUUGAAUUCAACACUGAUCAUGAAUAUAAGAAUAAUUAUCUGGAAGUCAUGAGCUAUAAUAGUUUUCUUUCUGUGUGAAGUCAGUUCAGACUGAUAGUUAAAACACAAUUUGGAUGUUAGAGAUACAAUUUGAAAAAUGGCUCCAUAUGACCCAGUGUUUCAUGUUAAGAUGUGAGAUUUAGGAUCCCAUGGUAUAUCAGGCCCAUUUAGUGGGAACAGAAAGCAGCUUUGGUCAUUUAAUAUUUAGCUGAGACUAUGGAUAGGUAUGAGAAAAAGGAAGUGAUGAUGUUGCAAAGCAAUGGGAAAGAGCAUGUAUAGGAUAUAUAUACUAGACACUCAACAUAUAUUGUCUUUACUGCUCAUUCUUGUCCAAAGAAGUGGUGAUACGUCCAUUCUUUAGAUGGGGGUGGGGGAAAGGUGACAUUUACACUGAUGGAAGGAUUUGCUCCAAGUUAUAGCACUGAAGUGGCAGAACUCCUGCAGACUGUCACCAAGGUCAAGGUCCUUGUUAUGUUCAUCUCACCAUGCUGCCAUGUGGGCUCUGAAUACAUCAGUGCUUAGCCUCCAAGCCUUGUGUGCUUCCAGACUCCUUGUCCCCGUUUCACACCACAUCUCCAUUGUUUUUCUUCCUGAGAAUUUUUAAAGAAAGCUUCUGACAAGACUUGAUGAGAUGCUACAGCUGACAAGCAUGUGAAAAAGGAUGAAAUAACUUGAGGUCUGGAGUGAACAGUUACAUUCCUGGAUUGUUGAAAGGCCCAUUCUUUACAUGGGAUCAACCAUCUUUGGUGAGGCUGGGUGGAUGAUGCAGUUUCACUUCUAGGUGUUAGGAUUCUCUUUCACACUGGUUUGUCAUGACCUUAAAGUAUUUUAAGUUUCUCCUUUGCUUUGUGUUCACGCCCAAACUCCAAGGGUAGGAUCUACCACAUAGAGGGUGGAGUGGCAUUCCAAUUCCAUUUAUUUUCUGCUGAAGCUGGCACACUGAAUGAAGAUUUAUAUCCUAAGUGACAGGAUUCAGACGAAACACGACAAACCUGUAAAAUCUGCAACGUGGACGUGUCAAUGCAGAACUUUCGGAUGAACUGGAUGGGACCAGGAAGACAAACCACACACACUGUCACGUUGUGCUGGGCAGCAUGACAGAUCAAAGAGAAUCCCAAGGAAGAGCAAGUCCUUGCUGGCUGCAGGGCACGUGGUGGGGGGUUCAGCACAGACUGCUGUUUGGUUUACGGAUUCAGGUGUGCGUCUAUCUUGGGCCUGCCUUUUUAUGGAAAAAUUUUGUGGAGAUACACUGCACUGACUGGAAAAUUAUUCACUUGUUUUUUUAAUCAAAUUUAUCGAGUGGAAGCAUUGGUUAUGAAACUAGUCAUUUCACUGGACUUUAAUCCUGACCUAGUUGCCAACAAUGGGUGGUAAUUAUUCUUAUUUACCAAAGCAUAGAGAGAAUCUGUGUUAAAAGAGCAACCCAGGCAGGCACUGCUUUGAGGAGGGAACAAGUUUUACCACCUUAGGAGAGAUGAAUUAGUUUUGUGAAACAUCUCUGAUUGUCUUGCUGAAGGACUCGAACCACUGGACAUGAACGGAAGCGUGCGGCAACUUUGUACUGCAGACAGCAAGUUAAAGCCCCCCGCCCCCCCCCCCCCCACGCCCAGGAAAGCUCAGGAGUCAGGGGCCUCAGCGGAGCACACUCCUGACUUUACCACUGUGUGCCAUGGUGCUCCUGACAGCCUGGUUGGCCGUCACUCAUCUAGAAGAAUGAAUGAACCUCGUAUUAAGCGCUCCUUGCUGUUGGUUCAAGUAGAUCUCCUCAGAGUUCUCACUAAUCAGGUUUCCACCGUCUUUGGCAGAUUUGAUUCCUGGACUCCCACAGAAGGAUUUCAGAGAAGUCUUUGAACAAAUGCAAGAGGCACAAACUUCACCUAACAACUGUUUACUGAAACAUGUGUAACUUCUGUGCCUGGCAUAGGGCUGAGUGCUGAGGGUCUGAAGCAAGACAGGUCCCUGCCCCCAAGGUGCUGUAGUGCACAGCCUGCAGUCACGGAGCAGGUCUUAGGGCAUGGUUCUUCACUUGUGAGGGACUCCAGAGCUGUGAGUGCCUAAUGAGAACCUGCUGAUCAAGUGAACGGGGCCGACCAGUAUCAGGAUGGCUGCUACUGGCAUCUGUGCAACUCGUCUCCACAGUGAAGAAGAUGAUGGACUCAGAUCCUCUUUGUUUUUGCUCUAUUUGUGCUUCUGUACAUGAGAUACUGGUAACCCUGGAGCAUGAAGGCCUUUCCCAAGGAGUACAUAAAGCCACAGACAGAAAAGAAUGCAUCUUUCUUAGAAUGUCCAUAUCAUUCAAUGAUGAAUUAUGGAAAAGACUUUUAUAUUGAACUCAAAAUAUGCCCUGCGACAUAACAUGAAAUUAAAUCAAAAUUUCAAAAUAAAAUCUAAGAUUUUAAAGAAGUGUCAUAUUUGCCGCCUAAGGCCACUUUGGGCCAUGUGCCCUGAUCCCAGGGAUAAACCUUCAUUCUGCAUCUCAGGAGAAUCCUUCAUUGUAGAGCUAGGACAAGGAUUUCCUGGUCUAGAUAGUGACUGGUUACCUACCACCUUACAGGCUCUCCCUCCAUGCCUUCCUCCAACUCUACUAUCUAACAAUGAAGUCUAACGUGGGGGAAUCCCACUAAAAUCCUAAACCAGAGGAAACAAGGUCAACUGCAGAAAUUCAGGUACUCUGGAUGGCAUGUAUUAUUAGCUUUUCUGCACUGAUGUAUGUAAAUCCCCAAUUCUGAGGUUCUAGGUAUUGCCAGGAAUUUAAUUAAAACAUUACCCUGAGCUGUUAAGUCAAAUCUCAAAUUACCAAAGAGUACCUAGUGGCUAAAAUUAAUUAGCAAUUCUAGCCAAACUAUUCUCUCAACUUCCAUUUGCUUGGGUGCCCUGCACAGGAGGAUAUGCUGGGAUGCAGGGUGAGGUUGCUCUUGGACACGCUUCCCCUCUGUAGACGAUCUGAAUCUCUGAUGGAAAAUGUUGAGGCUACCCCAAUAACUAGUGGAGGGGCCAAGAGCACACCUGAAUCCAGUUACUUUGUAUUGAGCUCACACCUUUAUACAAAAUGCCACGCUUGCUUGCGUGCUACAGGACUUCAGUGAAGCCUGUCACGCAGGGCUCUCCAGCUAGUCAGAGUCUGAAGGUCUCAAAGUGUUUGCAGAAUGCUACCUUUAUCUGUAGUGAAGAUCAGAAAUAUGUCUCAGUGUCCUGGCUUCUGCAUUUUUUAAAGAAAAUCAUCUUCAACUGCAGCAUUUUGUUUAUACAUGAAUUCAGUGUGUGUGUGUGUGUGUGUGUGUGUGUGUGUGUGUGUGCGCGCGCGUGCGCAUGCACAUGCAGGAAGGUGGGGCUGGGGGAGGCUGCUGGUUCACUGAGCGUCUGUCAGCAGCCUCUGUCACUCUGGGUCUGAGACAUCCCUCCGUGCUUCCCUCGCUUUCCUUGCUGCUGGCAUCUCACAUACCAAUGUCAUUAGGCACUGUCUGCCCCGGUCCUUCUACAAUCCAGCCCGUGCAGUUCCCGUCACAGCAAGUGCUUCCUCUGUCAGAGCAGACAAACUGACUGAAGCCACAGCCGGAAGCAUGCUGACCACAAGUGCUAAAGUUCUGGUUCAACUGAAGAGGCUGUUCUAAGAAAGACUACUGAGGUAAUCAGUCACCUUCCUCAGAGAAAGUCUGCUCAGGUAGUCUUGUUUAGUUUACCACGUAAACAAUGGAACAUUUACUGUUGAAUCCUUUAUUCUUUUAUAGCCUGAUGGGAGACUUGACAUUUUUUGGUGGGGGCAUGACGGACAAAGAGACCUGGGGCUUCUCUUUCCUUCAUAGUCCCUUCUGAGGAGAUCAAAGAAGGUAAACACUGUCCUUUCGAUCAGACAGCAAGUGUGUUUCUACUCAGCUUACCAAGCAGGAGGACACACCAGGGUUUCCCAGAAUGCCUAGGGACACCCGGGAUGAGAGCGCAGAGGAGGCAGGGGAGGACUGAAGAUCAUCCUUUAACUUUCCAAAAGCAGGAAUAUAGGACACUUAAUAAACCUUAAAUCACUUGCCCCUUUUGUAGGGAGGGGUGAUUAUUUUUUACUGAACGGGACUAAAAUAAUCCGUAGAGCUCAUUUUUUUAAGAUCACAGCAAAAAAUAGAACCCCAAAUCUGUUGCUUUCGGUGAACAACGGUGAUAAUGAUCUCUAUGCUCAGUGACUCUAAAAGCUAUUUAUAGCAAUUAUUAUACAUUCAGAAAAAACUAAACUAAAAAAUGGAUCCCAGGUAUGGACAUGAUAAAAAGAUCAUGGGGUUGGGGAGAGGGAGGGAUGAAUAAAUAGGGGGAGCACAGAGGGUUUUUAGAGCAGUGAAGCUAUUCUGUUUGCUGCUGUAAUGGUGGAUACAUGGCAUUAUACAUGUGUCAAAACCUAUAGAAGGUACAACACCAAGAGUGAAUCCUAAUGUAAAUUCUGGUCUGUGUCUAAUAAUAAUGUGUCAUCUUGGUUCAUCAGUGGAAACAAACAUACCACAGUAAUGCAACAUGUUAAUAACAGGAGAAACUGGGUGGGAGUGAGGCAGGGAGGGGGGAGUGUACAGGAACUCUGUGCUUUCUGCUCUGUUUUUAUGUAAACCUAAAAGUGCUGUAAAAAAUAAAGUCUAUUAAAAACAAUAGAUCCCACACCUGGAAUUUGUUGGCCAGUCCCUAUUUCAAGGAUCCACACUUCCCUCUGUUCCCAAAGUACAGUGAACUCAAACCACUUACGGUAUCCCUGCAUUUCACAGGUGUGUUUCUACAACAGCCUGUGACAUGAGUUUGUCAUCAGGAAGAGUCAUAGCCUGAAUCAAAAGCUCAGGACUUGAAGUCACAGUGCCGCAGUGUGUUAUAGACAGUGCACCAGUGAAUGGGUUGGUUAACCAACCUGGGUCUCCGUUUCUGUGUUUUGAGAAAGAGAUCAUGGGCUACCCCCACAGAGUUACCGUGUAAGGAUCAAAUGGAUGUGACAAAGUGUCCCAUAAGCUGGAAAGCAUUAUGCAAAAGUAUUCUAAAUCGGUGUCAUCAGCCUAAGGUCUCAAAACUAGUGUGGAGUCAACCCUGCAAUCCACAUUUUGACUCCAGGUGUAGUGACUCCGUGUCAGGUUCCUUCUUUUCUAUGGCAUUCCAUUUUAGAGAUACAGAAUUUCUCUUUUGGCAAUGCAGCCAUAUGAAGGUUACCCACACGACUCCCAACUUUAGGUGUCAGAGUGGUUCUGUUCUUGAGCUCUGAAUGACAUUACCAAAGCAGGCCACAUUAUAUAAUCUUCAGCUGGGCUGGAGUGACCACUUACCCUUCCCAGACUCGGUUAAUAGUUGUUCUUGGAUGAUACAGUGUAACAAAGACAGGCCCUCGCCAGCAUAGAGAACCGCACCCAUUUCUGAUGAAAUCCCUAAGAAAAGCCAGCUGCAGAAUCACUGGUUUAAGUCAUUGUAGGCCCUCAGGUGAAGCGAUUUCUGGGCCCCCACUGAGACUCUGAGAAAGCAAUGCUUAUCACUCCAAGUGAGGAAGCCAGGGGCCACACAGAAGAGAAAGGUGGGGCUGGCAGACGGUGUCGGACAAGGCAUGGCUGACCCACUGGAGGUUCCUAAUAGAGAACACUUAGGGUAACCUGCCCCUGGUCAAGCUGGUUCAUGACCCUUUGCCCCGGCAGCUUCCCCAGAGUUAGCUCAGUUAGCUAUGAAAUCUAGCAGAACAUUCCCAGAGGUUAUGUAUGGGAUUUUAGCAAUUUUUAUUGUUUUUUUCCUGUAUUCUUUUCUGGAUUCCAUGACUUUUUCCAGAAGUCUACUUAAACAGCUUUCCGAAUUUCUUUGCUGUUGUUUCAGGAAAAAAUACUUGGGAUUUUUGAAUAUACAUACACAUACGUAUACACUCAUAAACCUCACUAUUGUAAGGUUGUUGUAUGUAAGCUGCUUCAUAUACAACAAUGUUCCUUCGAACAGUGUUAGUCAUCCUAUAGGUCUACAUGUUGUCAAACUCUUGCCUGAAAUGGUUUUCCUUAAGGUCAGCCCUGCCUAGAUAGACUCCCAGAAAAGAGAAAAAUGUCAUCUCUCUCACCAUUGAUACGACUCCAGUGAGAGCUGAGGGGCAAGUCACUGGCACUGUUACUGACGUGGGAGUGGCUUGGAGGAAAUGUGCCACAGAGCUCCAGCUCUUAAGAGUGAAAGAGAUCACCAGCUGUGUGCAGGCUCUCUAAAUUCCUCAGUCCUUUCCAAAUCCCUCAUUUUACUGACCUGACCCGGGCACCCUGACCCCAAAGAUUUACCGGCUUGUUCACACAGGCGUCCUCUCUCCCUCCUGACACCCUCAUCCCUGCUCUAGACAGAGACCCUCUUUAGUAGUUCACGGACUCCUACCACUGCUUUGCAAGUUGCUUCGCUGAAUUACAAUGCUAAAGACGGCCUAAGAGACCCUGAUUCAACUUUCUCACUUUAUAUGGGGGUCACACCAAGGCCCUGAGAAGAAGUGGGUGUGUGAAAGGAGAAACUGAGAGCCUUGUCCACUUGUGUAAUGUGCACAUACAUAGGACUGUACCUAAAUACUAAUAAC